Molecule: ribosomal RNA, 497 nt
Filed under: uncultured bacterium
Lineage: Bacteria
Description: partial 16S ribosomal RNA
Rfam family: Bacterial small subunit ribosomal RNA
Source: RNAcentral
GAUGAACGCUGGCGGCGUGCCUAAUACAUGCAAGUCGAGCGAACAGACGAGGAGCUUGCUCCUCUGACGUUAGCGGCGGACGGGUGAGUAACACGUGGAUAACCUACCUAUAAGACUGGGAUAACUUCGGGAAACCGGAGCUAAUACCGGAUAAUAUCUUUAACCGCAUGGUUCAAUAGUGAAAGACGGUUUUGCUGUCACUUAUAGAUGGAUCCGCGCCGCAUUAGCUAGUUGGUAAGGUAACGGCUUACCAAGGCAACGAUGCGUAGCCGACCUGAGAGGGUGAUCGGCCACACUGGAACUGAGACACGGUCAAGACUCCUACGGGAGGCAGCAGUAGGGAAUCUUCCGCAAUGGGCGAAAGCCUGACGGAGCAACGCCGCGUGAGUGAUGAAGGUCUUCGGAUCGUAAAACUCGGUUAUUAGGGAAGAACAAAUGUGUAAGUAACUAUGCACGUCUUGACGGUACCUAAUCAGAAAGCCACGGCUAACUACGUG